This 468-nucleotide ribosomal RNA is filed under the name uncultured bacterium. Its description in RNAcentral is "partial 16S ribosomal RNA". It matches the Rfam family "Bacterial small subunit ribosomal RNA", at positions 28 to 507 of the family's 1533-position model. The record is from RNAcentral.
GACGAACGCUGGCGGCGUGCUUAACACAUGCAAGUCGAACGGAAAGGCCCUGCUUUUGUGGGGUGCUCGAGUGGCGAACGGGUGAGUAACACGUGAGUAACCUGCCCUUUACUUUGGGAUAACUUCAGGAAACUGGGGCUAAUAUCGGAUAGGAGAUCCUGCUGCAUGGUGGGGGUUGGAAAGUUUCGGCGGUUGGGGAUGGACGCGCGGCUUAUCAGCUUGUUGGUGGGGUGGUGGCUUACCAAGGCUUUGACGGGUAGCCGGCCUGAGAGGGUGACCGGCCACAGUGGGACUGAGAAACGGCCCAGACGCCUACGGGAGGCAGCAGUGGGGAAUAUUGCACAAUGGGCGGAAGCCUGAUGCAGCAACGCCGCGUGCGGGAUGACGGCCUUCGGGCUGUAAACCGCUUGCGCCUGUGACGAAGCGUGAGUGACGGUAAUGGGUAAAGAAGCACCGGCUAACUACGUG